RNAcentral lists this ribosomal RNA (442 nucleotides) under uncultured bacterium. RNAcentral's name for it is "partial 16S ribosomal RNA". It matches the Rfam family "Bacterial small subunit ribosomal RNA", at positions 339 to 795 of the family's 1533-position model. The record is from RNAcentral.
CUACGGGUUGCAGCAGUGGGGAAUAUUGGGCAAUGGGCGCAAGCCUGACCCAGCAACGCCGCGUGAGGGAAGAAUGUCUUCGGAUUGUAAACCUCUGUCCUUAGGGACGAAAAAAAUGACGGUACCUAAGGAGGAAGCUCCGGCUAACUACGUGCCAGCAGCCGCGGUAAUACGUAGGGAGCAAGCGUUGUCCGGAAUUAUUGGGCGUAAAGGGUGCGUAGGCGGUAAUCCAAGUCAGAUGUGAAAGACCCGGGCUUAACUCGGGAGGUGCAUUUGAAACUGGGUUACUUGAGUACAGGAGAGGUAAGUGGAAUUCCUAGUGUAGCGGUGAAAUGCGUAGAUAUUAGGAGGAACACCAGUGGCGAAGGCGACUUACUGGACUGUCACUGACGCUGAGGCACGAAAGCGUGGGGAGCAAACAGGAUUAGAUACCCUCGUAGUC